UAAUCCUCUGACGAUCACUUUAUCUGCACAUAUGUAACAGUGUUUUGCUAUGAAUAAGUAUUUUACGACGCAAAACUUGUGUAAAUACCGCAAUAAAAUUAUCUUCAUUGAUGCAGACAGGAGGUAUUACAACAAAAUAAAACACAUCAGUUCUAGGAUAUUUAAAUAAGUUGAAACAAUUACAGAAAUCGAUGAACUGUGAACCUAUCCAGUGACCUAUCACAGAUGUGUCACUAGCUGAUACGAAGGUGUUUGUCUUUGAAGGUGGAAUCCAAAUUAAGAGACAGCUGAGAUUGAAAGAACAAUAAGCAUUCAGACUUGCUGACAAUUGUGUCUGUACAUAGAAUUUAAUCCUGUCUUCUCUGUUAGGACGUAAAAUGGAUUCCUCAGAAGAAAAUGCGCAGCUUCUGGAAUACCUAAAUGAUCAGAAGAUACAGGAAUACGCUCCGGCUAUUGCAUACUCCGCAUUUGUUAUGAUACUAGGAAUCUUUGGGAAUAUUUUCUCCAUUAUAUACUACGGAUUUAAAUCCCCAAAAACUACUACCAAUAGUUUGAUAACGUACUUGGCAGUCAAGGACAUUGUGACAUGUAUCGUGUUCUGCGAUGAAAUAAUUGAAUUGUGCUUUACAAUAACUUUCAAGAAUGUUAUCGGAUGUAAGUUUAUGUAUUUUACUAACCAUACAUUGGUAAUAGGGUCUGGUUUCAUUUUGACAUUGAUAAGUGUAGAUCGUUUCCGAAAGAUCUGUGGCGGCAAUCGUGGAAAUUAACUGUGUUAACCGCCAAAAUUUGCGUUGGGGUAUUGUUUUUCUAUCUUUUCUCCUGUCUGUCAGAGAUUUGUUAUUUUAGACGUUGGGCAGGUAAACCUUAUAUCCCCCGCGCAGAAUAGAUCAAUUCCUGAUUACGAGGGACGGGGAUAAGAAAACGACAGUUACUGACUUUCAGUUGAUCGAUUAAGCAACUUUUAUAACUUUUAUCACAACAAUGGCUGUCUUGUACUCAUUUGUAGUAAGAGAGUUUUGGGUACAAAGUCAACGGAAGGAAAGCUAUGCGCUUCUGGUAGCGGCAAAAUCAAGUGUUACUGAAUCAGAUUCAACUCGGCUGACGUGAAAGACUUUCAUAAGAAAUCUACAGAAGAUACUGGCUCAUCUGUUCAGAAUGAAAGUAUUGACCAAAACGUUUCACACUCGGACAUAAAAGUUGACUUUAACACUCCACAAUUAAUUUUCAGCCAGUUACCUGAACAGAAAGAGAAAUUUUUUACGGUUAAAAGUAACAUUGCAAAAAUUGGCGAUGAUAAACCAUCCGCGAAAAGAAAUCAAACAGAAAAUAGUAUAGAGCACAAGCAGAAUAAUUCUAAAAGAAAACAUGCUGAUAGCAGUUAUGAUAAUUGUUAUUACAGGGGCAAGUGUUUUAAGCUUUGUGUCUUACUUUAUCGUGACCCUUGGAGUAAAGCGGACAUCAAAAACUCCCGAGCAAGAAUUCAGUGUCGGUAAGCAGAAUACACUAUGGUCGUUCAUGCUCAACAAUGCUGUAAAUCCCUACAUCAUGGGGUUAUUUAACAGGCAGUUUAGACGUUUUGUAAAGGAUAUCAUUUUUAAAUGUCAGUUAUUAAGGAAUUAGUUUAUAUAGGUAUUGUAAAGGAAAUCAUUUGUAAAUGUCAGUGUGUUUUAGGAAGUAGUUUAGACGUUUAAUAAAGGAUAUCAUUGGUAAAUGUCAGUGUUUGGGGAAGUAGUUUUGACGCUUUGUAAAGAAUAUUAUUAGCAAAUUGCAGUGUUUGGGGAAGUAGUUUAGACGCUUUUAUUUGCAAAUAUGAGUGCAUUAAUAAAUGUUUGCAGUUUGGUCUAAAUUGUUUUCUACAACAAAUAUUUGAUUAAUUUCUGUCAGUACUUCUUAAAAAAUUAACAUGUUUAAUUCAUAUUCUUGGAAAAACAUCCGCGCAGUCUGGUCAGGGUUCGCUAACGGAUUCUCUAAUUGCUAUAGGUUUACAAAUCGAACAACAUGGAACCAGACCAGACUGUGAGGAUGCGCAGGCUGGUCUGGAUCCAUGCUGGUCGCAAAGCCACUAUGUUAGUUUUCUCAUGGCGCGGCUCAUAUAAAAGGUUAUAAUAUAUAACUUGAUUUUGGACGUAAAUAUAGUUGUGAACAUUUAUUAUUCACACUAUAUCUACUGUGUAAUUACAUAACAAUUUAGUGGUUUUACAUUUUAUGAUAUGCAUUUACUUAUUUGUUUUUAUGUAAAUAGUGUGUGGAGUAUGACUCCCGCAAAAUAAUUUAAACGACAGCAUGUUUAUGUAAUAGAAAGAGCAUUGAAAUUCGAGGGUAAACGAUUUGUACGAGGGGGCGUAGCCCCCGACUAUAAAUCGUUUUGUCCGAGAGUUUUAAUGAUCUUUCUGUUUUGUAUCAUAGCCAUCCAUAUAUGGUAGUUCAGUAGGCGUUCCACAUUGCCAUAUACAGCAGUUCAGUGAGUACUUAAAAUCCUUGCUUUACAAAUGUGUAAAGCUCAGGUAAAAUAAACCAAUGCGAGCGCAGAAAAUCAAUAAAAUGCACUUCGCUGUCUGCUGUUAGAGACACGCCCAUACACGCUGGCAAACUUUCCUAUCCAACAGUGCCGUAACUAGCGUGCGGGUAUUUAAUACCUGUACACUUUUAGUUCCCGCACCCUGCGCUCAGUGUUUACGAUUUACCUGUACCAAAUUUGUUUAGAAAAAGCACCGAGCUAUUAUCUGUUAUAAAAAUGAACAACAACGAUUCUGUGUCUGGUCGGUUCGUUUAAACUCAUAUAUUAUUACACAUAUUAGGUCAGAGAGCAAUCUUAUUCUCUAAAUUCAAUGGACUUUCAUAUCUGUUUGUCUUGUGAAAACAGCAAAUAUGUAAACUUGUUUGUCGAUAAAACUAAGUAUACUUCCGGGUCCAGCUCUUUCCUUUUCAUGUAUUCAUAUCAUACUUUAUCCUUAUUCGGUGGUGGACGAUAGGUAUAUUACGUAAUCCGCAUUGAUGCAUAGUCGAUAUUCUGUUAAGAAGCAGCAUGUAUUUUGGAAUACUAUUAGAGCAAUCAUUACUGAAUUAUUCUGCACAUUGAAAAUAAAGCAUUUUUGUUUUGUUUAGGAGACAGUUGAGGGUUGAAAGAACAAUAAGCAUUCAGACUUGCUGACAAUUGUGUCUGUACAGGGAAUUUAAUCCUGUCUUCUCUGUCAGGACGUAACGAAAAAAAAUGGAUUCCUCAGAAGAAAAUGCGCAGCUUCUGGAAGACCUAAAUGAUCAGAAGAUACAGGAAUACGCUCCGGCUAUUGCAUACUCCGCAUUUGUUAUGAUACUAGGAAUCUUUGGGAAUAUUUUCUCCAUUACAUACUACGGAUUUAAAUCCCCAAAAACUACUACCAAUAGUUUGAUAACUUACUUGGCAGUUACGGACUUUGUGACAUGUAUCGUGUUCUGCGAUGAAAUAAUUGAACUGUGUUUUACAAUAACUUUUAAGAAUGUUAUCGGAUGUAAGUUUAUGUAUUUUACUAACCAUACAUUGGUAAUAGGGUCUGGUUUCAUUUUGACAUUGAUAAGUGUAGAUCGAUUCCGUAAGAUCUGCCGACGGCAAUCGUGGCAGCUAACUGUAUUAACAGCCAGAAUAUGCGUUGGGGCAUUGUUAUUUCUAUCUUUUCUCCUGUCUGUCAGGGAUUUUGUUAUUUUAGAUGUUGUACAGGUAAACCUUACUCUCACUGCGCAGAAUACAACAAUUCCUGGUUACUACUGCACACAUACGAGGGACGGGGACAAGAAAACGACAGUUACUGCAUUUCAGUUGAUCGAUUUAGCAACUUUUGUUAUAGUUAUCCCAACAAUGGCUGUCUUGUACUCAUUUGUGGCAAGGGAAAUUUGGAUACAAAGGAAAAAGAAGGAAAGCCAUAUGAUUUUGGUAGCGGCAAAAUCAAGUGUUACCGAAUCUGAUUCAACUGAUGUGAAAGGCUUUCAUAAGAUAUCUGCAGAAGAUACUGGUUCAUCUGUUCUGAAUGAAAAUACUGACCAAAACGUUUCACACUCAGACACGAAAGUUGACAUUAACACUCCACAAUUAAUAUUCAGCCAGUUACCUGCACAGAAAGAGAAAUGUUUUACGGUGGAAGGUAACAUUCCAAAAAUUGACGAUGCUAAAUCACCCGCUGCAAUAAAUCCAACAGAAAAUAAUAGAAAGCACAGGGAGCAUAAUUCUAAAAGAAAACAUGCUGACGCGAUUGAAAGAAAGAUAGCAGUUAUGAUGAUUGUAAUUACAGGGGCAAGUAUUUUAAGCUUUGUGCCUUACUUUAUCGUGAACCUUGGAGUAAAGCGGAAAUCAAACACACCCGAGCAAGAAUUUAGUGUCGGUAUGCAAAUUGCAUUACGGUCGUUCAUGCUCAACAAUGCUGUAAAUCCAUACAUUAUGGGGUUUUUCAACACGCAGUUUAGACGCUUUGUCAAGGACAUCAUUUGUAAAUGUCAGUGUUUGAGGAAGUAGUUUAGACGCUAUGUACAGGAUAUCAUUUGUGAAUGUCAGUGUUUGACGAAGAAGUUCAGACGCUUUGUAAAGGAUAUUAUUUGUAAAUUUCUGUGUUUGAGGAGGUAGUUCAGACACUUUUUAAAGGAUAGCAUUUGUAAAUGUCAUUGUUUGCUCAAGGAAGUAGUUUAGACGCUUUGUAAAGCAUAUCAUUUUUAAAUAAGAAAUAGUUUGGAGUUUGGGCUUAAUUGUUUUCUACAACAAAUAUUUGGUUAAUCUGGGUCAGAACGUUUUCAAAACUUACAUGUUAGUGUCGUAUUCUUGGGAAAAAAACUAUUCAUAGAAUUGUACGUUAGCUUACUAGCUAUUCCUGAGUAAAAGAGGACUACCAAAACACAUUAAGCUGUGCGUGGGUGUGUUAACGGAUCAUUGACAAAAUGAUUUGGACUGACAGUGUUAUAUAAACAGAUUGGUUCCCUUGUGUAAAGAUGGUUUAGGGGUGAGUAAGUCUCUACAUUUAAGGCCUCUUUCUAUGUUUAAAUAUUUAUGAAGAUCGAAAAGGAUAAUGUUUGUACUGGAAUAUGUAAAUGAAUAUAGUUACGACAAACCAGGAAAUUUAUUAUUCAAACUAUAUCUACUCUGAAAUUACGUAAUAAUUUAGUUGUUUUAGAUCUUAUGAUAUGCAUUUACUAAUUUGUUUUUAUAUAAAUAGUUUGUGGAGUAUACUUUGUUCUGAAAUACAGUAUAAUAUUAUGUUUCUGUAAAUAACACUUAGUUUCUAUUGUUAUAAAUCUUUAUAAAAUACUUGAACACAAUAACCGCUAUAACAGUACAUAUAAUAUAAUAAUAAAGAUUGCUUUAUAUCAUGGCUAUUUGGUACUGUACACGUUGUUUUAAUGUCAGUUAAAAGAGAGCCAUUCUAAAUAUAAUGACACUCGUGCUGGAAUAUGGUAAACAAUCUGUGUAGAGAGUUCAAAUUUAGUUUAUCCCUUCAAAUUAUUCGCCCUGACUUCCGUCAGGUGAUCGUUGCAGCGUGGUAACUGAAAAAUACUACUCCAAAGUUCUUAAUUCGAUAAAUAUUUUUGAAUAAGUGAGAUGAUUGAUUUGUACCACUUUUUCGUCGUUCAGAAAUUUGUGAACGAUGGCGCUUUUGUGAGCCGCAGCACUUUUGUAAUUUCGUUGAACUGUUUUCAGUGCUUGGUCUCUAUAAAACUUUCCAGUGACUGAGUUCCUGACGGUGUAGGAAUUUGUAUAGUACACACUGAGUUAAAGAAGAUAGAAUACAAAUACAAACGUUUUUGACACUUUUAGCUUUUUUGCAAUUACUGGUCUACGUUCACCUUUUCACAGCCACUGUCUGUUGUCAAAGCGAAGCUGUGGCUUAUAAAAGUAUAUCCAGAUCUCGUCUCAUCUUAGGAGCUACAAUCUUAAUUUCGAGAAAUAGGCGUUUCUUUAGCACAUUUGACCCUACUGGCCUUUUGCUCCUCGACUGACAGGUGAGGCAGUAUUCGGGCACAAAUCUUUCUUAAACAAGUGCUUGGUGAGAAUACAGGCCGGUUUUCUAUUCGUUUGUAUUUCAGACAGAAAAUAUAAGGUAUAUAAUAAGUACAUGUGUCUGUAUUUUGAUGUAUGCAAAUAAUAAAACAAGGACAAUACAGGAUAUAGACAAAUAUAAGUUAGCUGGCAUCAGACCUCGCAUCAUGCAUUAACAAGUUCGUUUUUAUUUAAAUGGAACGGAUUACUUGCUUACUUUGGUUAUAAAAUUAUGCAUGACUUUUGAGUAUUUUACAUAUUUACAUUGUUAGAAGUACUUUAACACUAUCGCCGUUUUAAAUUUGAUUAUAUCAGGCUGGGCAAAGUUUAUUAAACCGACAGGUAGCAUUUACGUUCCGGGUUUAUUCUAUACUUAAAGAUUUAAACCUUAAACACGACAUGGCCACCAUCACAAAAUAACAUAGUCACAACGUUCCACCUUUUGUUCGAUCUACCUUUGAGGAUAUUGAAAAAGGUUCACUGUUACUCGUUAUUAAUCGCAAGUUGUACUUUUAUUUCAUAAUAAAUGAAUCUUCAAACUUAAUUUCUGAUGUCAAAUAACAAAACGGUUAAAUAGCCCAGCAAGGCAUUCAAUAAGUGUUCAUUUCAGACUUUAUGACAAAUAACAUGAGAGGUGCUAUUUUGUUCCAUCCAAUGAAAGAAAGUAUUUUUAUGACAGAAGUUUUAGAACUUAUUUCCCGAGACUGUUGAAUGAUACACCUUUGAGUAUAGGACAGUCUAAAUUCUCAGACGUUUUAAAGAAGAAUCUGAAAAAAAGUAUGUCAGAGGUUUAUAUUAAUUGUGUUUAAGGAAACAGUUAGGUUUCAUUGUGGUUUGCAGAGCAAUGUCAGCUACAUUUUAAUGCAUUGGCCUUCAAUGUCAAUUUUGAUUUAUGUAUUGUAUGAUUAUUGAUAUAAAUGACAUUUUAUGUUUAAAAACUUAAAUGACGCUGUUGAAUAUAAUAUACUUGUGAAAAAAAAAUAGGCGUUUAAUCAAAUACAACAGUUUCAGUUUCCAGGUUGUAAAGACAAAAUAAAUUGCUAUAAUGAUUGCAACAUAUUUCCUUGUUUUCAAACUGCCCAAAUAACCUUGAGCUUUUUUGUAAGUUACAUGCAAUUCAAUAACAUGCCACACUUCCUUUUUGAACAUAAAAAGUACAGAAUGUACACCCGUUACAAUACGCUUACUAUCAUGUGACAAUUUAUUCGCACUUUCGUAAUUUUCAAUUUAUCUUGUUUUGCAUGUACAACAUUUGCAAAAUCACAUAGUUUUACAAAUAAAUGAAGUUGGAACUUUUAUGGUAUAAAACACGUAAAAACGAAAGCUUCCGUGGGACUCCCUAAUAAAACAAUGCACACCAUGUUUUAUUGUCUUCAUUUGCAGCGUUUAAAUUGAUUCAUAGUUGGAACAUGUUUAAAGUCAAAUAUAUGCAUUUGUUUUAACACCGUCUGUUAGAACAGCUAAUAUUUUUUCCGCCGCGUCACAUCACAUUUUUCUACGCACAACGGUCAAGUGCACUUGAGUCAUAUGCUGUCGUGAUGUUUGUAAUACAAGGGUUUCUAGUCGAAAUAGCUUGGCCUUCGUAAAGCCCAGACGUUGAAUCCACCGUAUUUAUUCAGUAACUAUGGUAAUUUAUACAUUUUACUCCAUCUUACGCAUAUGGUUUGUAAAUACACAUAUAAGUUACUAUAAAAUGCAUACCGGACGGGUUUUCCAGUGCUGCCAAAUGUCUUAUUCAGUGUUGUUAUAUUUUCUGGUCCUUUGGGAAUAUGGAGUACAUUAAAAGUAUGUGUAAUAGAGUCCCGCUUAAGCCGGUGCUAGGAUGCGUGGAGGUGAUGCACACUUCAUUACCUCUCAUGAGCAGACUCAGUAAAAUCGAGUCUGCUAUUAUUCUUCUUGAUUACAUUCUUUGCUACCAAAGCAUCUUUUACAGAUUUUAUUUACAACCAAAUUUGUAAAAAUGGCCGUAAUAGAAAGUAAUUCGUAUAAUUUUAUUUCUUAUACGGUAUUCAAUGUUAUAAGAAAAUUUCUCUGUUUUAACAGUCACUUGAAAGAACGAGACGGUUACAUGUCUCUAUCGAAAAACAAAUAAAUCCUAGAUACUUUUUGACAUUUUUUGAGGAGUUUGACAGACAUAACUACAUUUCUUUCACUUAAAUUUCCGAAUGCGUCGCCUUAAAACCUUUCAAAACGAAACUGGUAAAUCAGUUGACGAUCGUUUUAUCUGAACAUCUGUAGCAGUGCUUUAUUGUAAAUAAGUAUUUUACGACGCAAAAUAUUUUAACAUACUCUGUUUAACAUAGAGUAAGUUAACGCCGCUAUAAACAUCAUCUUAAUUAAUACAGACAGGGGAUGCUCCAAAAAGAAAUCGAUGAACUGUGUACCCAUCCAGUGACCUAUUUCAGUGGUGUCACUAGCUGAUACGAACUGUCUUUGAAAGUGGAAUUGAGAUAGGGGUAACGCAAGUUACUAGUAUUGUGUAAGGAAGGCGUUCUGAGGAAUAACAAUAAUUCCAGAUCAAAAGGAGACAGUCGAGUUUAAAAGAACAACUGCUGACAUUUGUAUCUGUACGUAGAAAUUUAUCCUUCCUUCUCUGUCAGGACGUAACGUGAAAAUGGAUUCCUCAGAAGAAAAUGCGCUGCUUCUUGAAGACCUUAAUGAUCAGAAGAUACGGGAAUACGCUCCGGCUAUUGCAUACUCCGCAUUUGUGAUGAUACUUGGAAUUUUUGGAAAUAUUUUCUCCAUUAUAUACUAUGGAUUCAAAUCCACCAAAACUACUACCAAUAACUUGAUAACGUACUUGGCAGUCACGGACUUUGUGACAUGUAUCGUGUUCUGCGAUGAAAUAAUUGAAUUGUGCUUUACAAUAACUUUCAAGGAUGUUAUCGGAUGUAAGUUUAUGUAUUUUACAAAUCAUACAUUGGUAGUAGGGUCUGCUUUCAUUUUGACUUUAAUAAGUGUAGACCGAUUCCGAAAGAUCUGCCGGCGGCAAUCGUGGCAGUUAACUGUGUUAACAGCCAGAAUUUGCGUUGGGGUAUUGUUAUUUCUAUCUUUUCUCCUGUCUGUCAGGGAUUUUGUUAUUUUAGACGUUGUACAGGUAAACCUUACAUCCCCCGCGCAGAAUAAAUCAAUUCCGGGUUACUACUGCACACAUACGAGGGACGGGGACAUGAAAACUACAGUUACUGCCUUUCAGUUGAUAGAUUUAGCAACUUUUAUAAUAGUUAUCACAACAAUGGUUGUCUUGUACUCAUUUGUUGCAAGGGAGAUUUGGAUACAAAGGAAACGGAAGGAAAGUCAUAUGCUUUUGGUAGCGGCAAAAUCAAGUGUUACAGAAUCUGAGUCAACUGAUGUGAAAGGCUUUCAUAAGAUAUCUGCAGAAGAUACUGGUUCAUCUGUUCUGAAUGAAAAUACUGACCAAAAUGUUUCACACUCAGACACGAAAGUUGACAUUAACACUCCACAAUUAAUAUUCAGCCAGUUACCUGAACAGAAAGAGAAAUGUUUUACGGUGGAAGGUAACAUUCCAAAAAUUGGCGAUGAUCAAUCACCCGCCACAAGAAAUCCAACAGAAAAUAAUAGAGAGCACAAGGAGCAUAAUUCUAAAAGAAAACAUGCUGACGCGAUUGAAAGAAAGAUAGCAGUUAUGAUGAUUGUUAUUACAGGGGCAAGUGUUUUAAGCUUUGUGCCUUACUUUAUCGUGAACCUUGGAGUAAAGCGGAAAUCAAACACACCCGAACAAGAAUUCAGUGUCGGUAUGCAGAUUGCACUACGGUCGUUCAUGCUCAACAAUGCUGUAAAUCCCUACAUCAUGGGGUUAUUUAACACGCAGUUUAGACGUUUUGUAAAGGACAUCAUUUGUAAAUGUCAGUGUUUAAGGAAGUAGUUUAGACGUUUUGUAAAGGAUAUCAUCUGUAAAUGUCAGUGUUUAAGGAAGUAGUUUAGACGUUUUGUAAAGGAUGUAUGGCGUUUGUAAAUGUCAGUGUUUAAGGAAGUAGUUAAGACGUUUUGUAAAGGAUAGCAUUUGUAAAUGUCAGUGUUUAAGGAAGUCGUUAGACGCUUUGUAAAGAAUAUUAUUUGCAAAUGCCAGUGUUUGGGGAUGUAGUUUAGACGCUUUCAUUUGCAAAUGUCAAUGUUUUAAUAAAGAAGAUUGGAGUUUUGGCUAAAUCGUUUUCUACAACGAAUAUUUGAUUAAUCUCUGUCAGUAUUUUUUUCAAAAAUUACAUGUUAAUUUCAUAUUCUUGGACCAACAACUAUUCAUAAAAUUGUAGGGUAGGUUUUUCGAUAUUCUCGAUAAUUCAAGAGGAACUACCAAACCACAUUAAGUUGUUUAGGGUUUAGGGUUAAGUAUCUACUUUUUAAGAUAAGACUUCUUUCUUUGAUAAAAUCUGUAUGAAGAUCGUUUGAGGCUCCUUUUUCUGACUCAAUGUUCUAUUGUUAAGAAUAAAGAGUAAUGACGUAGAACUUGGUUUUGGACUGGAAUGCAUGUAAAUAAAUAUAGUUACGACAAACCAGGAAAUUUAUUAUUCAAACUAUAUCUACUGUACAAUUACAUAAUGAUUUAGUGGUUUUAGAUCUUAUGAUAUGCAUUUACUAAUUUGCUUUUAUAUAAAUAGUGUGUGGAGUAUAUUUUGUUCUGAAAUAUAGUAUAAUAUUGUGUUUCUGUAAAUAAUACCUAGUGUCCCUUGUUUAUCAAAAUACAGACUUCUGUUACCCGAUUUUAAAUGGUGUUUUUACUGUUAGACUAUAUGUAUCUUCCUGAUUUAAAUAUGGAAGUGUGCGUAUUUUGUUCGGAUAAUACAUGCAUGUGUUUUGGGAGGAAAACGUAGUUGUAAGAUAUUUAGCAAAUAAAUUGACGGUACUUAUUUUCCGGGUUUAUUCAAAUCAGACUGCUGAUUAAAUAAUACAAGAUUCUCAACAUUGUACUUACCCGGUAAACAAGUCAAAUAUACUUAUUGACGACGGCAAUGGACAAUGAUGUAGACCUAGACUGGAAUGUAUGUAAAUUAUACAUAGUAACGACAUUUGUAGAACCUUGAAUUACAUUUACGAGUACGACAAUAUUCCUUAAACGUUUAACGUUUGUAUCUCGAAGUUUAAAUUUUUUCACUUUACUCUAGCAUUGUUGCGAUGAUACCUCACAGGAAUCUUAUUUUUUUCAACUGAUGAUAGUAAAGACUUCUCAUGAUCUGCACUGUUCGCCAUUCAGUCAGUAUCUUAUUGGUUUGCACCCCUUUUAACAGUUAAUGGUACUGUCCAACUUGAAAGAUGAACAGGUUCAUUAUAGAAAUUUAGCAGACUAAGGAUUAUGGCUUCCUUUUUAGACUUUAUACGUUGAUGAGUACGGGUCCUGGACAGAGACAAAACAUAACUCUGUCCCUCUGGUCAGAUCGCUCUGUGUCUGUACUAGUAGAGGAUGAAUUAUGCGCCCUGUGUGGCUGCAUUUGAACUAUGUAAAGCGCCUUUGAACGUGAAAUUGAUCAUGAAAAGGGCGAUAUAUAAAUCUGGUAUGAUAAUAAUAAUAAUAAUAAUAAUAAUAACUGAUAAUUAAAUAGCUUGGUAGCUUUAGAUAAUGCGACUUGCAUUUAUCAAUUUCCUUUAAUGAACUAGAUAACUUGCUUACAGCGUUUAUAAAGCGUACCGCCCUUGAAAAAAAAAUCUGUUUAAUGUUAAUUUUGUGAUAUUAUUUUGGAGUGUUUUACAAAUUUCUAUUGUUAUUAAUAUUUAUAAAAUACUUAUAACAAUUACCCUUAUAACAAUAAAUAUAAUAAUAAACAUUGAUUUAUA
This is an RNA transcript of Mercenaria mercenaria, 11782 nucleotides long. It is a transcript of the gene named tyramine receptor Ser-2-like, with no coding region annotated. NCBI's taxonomy places the organism in Eukaryota, Metazoa, Mollusca, Bivalvia, Venerida, Veneridae. The record is from RefSeq and is a predicted model, not a curated record. The transcript has 5 exons.